This 460-nucleotide ribosomal RNA is filed under the name uncultured bacterium. RNAcentral's name for it is "partial 16S ribosomal RNA". It matches the Rfam family "Bacterial small subunit ribosomal RNA", at positions 338 to 795 of the family's 1533-position model. The record is from RNAcentral.
CCUACGGGUGGCAGCAGUGAGGAAUAUUGGUCAAUGGACGAGAGUCUGAACCAGCCAAGCAGCGUGAAGGAUGACUGCCCUAUGGGUUGUAAACUUCUUUUAUAUGGGAAUAAAACGUUCCACGUGUGGGAUUUUGUAUGUACCAUAUGAAUAAGGAUCGGCUAACUCCGGGCCAGCAGCCGCGGUAAUACGGAGGAUCCGAGCGUUAUCCGGUUUUAUUGGGUUUAAAGGGAGCGUAGGUGGAUUGUUAAGUCAGUUGUGAAAGUUUGCGGCUCAACCGUAAAAUUGCAGUUGAAACUGGCAGUCUUGAGUACAGUAGAGGUGGGCGGAAUUCGUGGUGUAGCGGUGAAAUGCUUAGAUAUCACGAAGAACUCCGAUUGCGAAGGCAGUUCACUGGACUGCAACUGACACUGAGGCUCGAAAGUGUGGGUAUCAAACAGGAUUAGAUACCCCUGUAGUC